This 650-nucleotide ribosomal RNA is filed under the name Bacillus sp. (in: firmicutes). RNAcentral describes it as "bacterial SSU rRNA". It matches the Rfam family "Bacterial small subunit ribosomal RNA", at positions 51 to 681 of the family's 1533-position model. The record is from RNAcentral. Lineage: Bacteria; Bacillati; Bacillota; Bacilli; Caryophanales; Bacillaceae.
AUACAUGCAAGUCGAGCGAAUGGAUUAAGAGCUUGCUCCUAUGAAGUUAGCGGCGGACGUGUGAGUAACACGUGGGUAACCUGCCCAUAAGACUGGGAUAACUCCGGGAAACCGGGGCUAAUACCGGACAACAUUUUGCACCGCAUGGUUCGAAAUUGAAAGGCGGCUUCGGAUGACACUUAUGGAUGGACGCGCGUCGCAUUAGCUAGUUGGAGAGGAAGCGUCUCACCAAGGCAACGAUGCAUAGGCGACCUGAGAGGGCGAUCGGGCACAGUGGGACUGAGACACGGCCCAGACUCAUACGAGAGGCAGCAGUAGGGAAUCUUCCGCAAUGGACGAAAGUCUGACGGAGCAACGCCGCGUGAGUGAUGAAGGUUUUCGGCUCGUAAAACUCUGUUGUUAGGAAAAAACAAGUGCUACUUGAAUAAGCUGGCACCUUGACGGUACCUAACCAAAAAGCCACGUCUAACUACGUGCCAGCAGCCGCGGAAAUACGUAGGUGGCAAGCGUUAUCCGGAAUUAUUGGGCGUAAAGCGCGCGCAGGUGGUUUCUUAAGUCUGAUGUGAAAGCCCACGGCUCAACCGUGGAGGGUCAUUGCAAACUGGGAGACUUGAGUGCAGAAGAGGAAAGUGGAAUUCCAUGUGUAGCGG